CUAUAAUGAACAGAGAGCGAACAAGAAGGUGGGGAAGUUGGUGACCCAGGGAAGGACAUCAGUUCAUUGGCACGGCUUCACGUGAGCGGUAGCUGUGUUCAAAAACGUUUUUCAAGACAAUGGAAUCGUCCGGUUAGAAUAUUACUGAAGUUUCACGUUAUAAAGGCCCUACAGAUUGAUGCAUUACAACGUUUGACAUGUUUGAACGAACGUAAAUAUAACAUUUUUGUAACUUUUCGUCAUGACAUUUUCCGCGCGCUUCCUACACUUGGAGUAGCUAACUGAACACGCUAACGACAAGGAGCUAUUUGGACAUAAAUGAUGGAGUUUAUCGAACAAAGCAACAUUUAUUGUGGACCUGGGAUUCCUGGAAGUGCCUUCUGAUGAAGAUCAUCAAAGGAUCUGAGCCCUAGGACCAUGCCUCAGGACUACCUGGCCUGAUGACUCCUUGCUGUCCCCAGUCCACCUGUUUGUGCUGCUGCUUCAGUUUCAACUGUUCUGCCUGCAGCUAUGGAACCCUGACCUGUUCACCGGACGUGCUGCCUUGUCCCGGACCUGCAAUUUUCGACCCUCUCUCUCUACCGCACCUUCUGUCUCUAACUCUGAAUGAUCAGCUAUGAAAAGCCAACUGACAUUUACUGCUGAGGUGCUGACCUGUUGCACCCUCUACAACCACUGUGAUUAUUAUUAUUUGACCCUUGCUGGUCAUCUUGGCCAUGUACUGUUAUAAUCUCUACCCGGCACAGCCAGAAGAGGACUGGCCACCCCUCAGAGCCUGGUUCCUCUCUAGGUCUCUUCCUCGGUUCCUGCCUUUCUAGGGAAUUUUUCCUAGCCACCGUGCUUCUACAUCUGCAUUGUUUGGGGUUUUAGGCUGGGUUUCUGUAUAGCAUUUUGUGACAUCGGCUGAUGUAAAAAAG
Molecule: long non-coding RNA, 917 nt
Filed under: Salmo salar (Atlantic salmon)
Lineage: Eukaryota; Metazoa; Chordata; Actinopteri; Salmoniformes; Salmonidae
Description: lncRNA (ENSSSAG00000103508.1)
Source: RNAcentral